AGCAGCGUGGCUCAGUGGAAAGAGCCUGGGCUUUGGAGUCAGAGGUCAUGGGUUCAAAUCCUCGCUCUGCCA
This 72-nucleotide transfer RNA is filed under the name Ornithorhynchus anatinus (platypus). It matches the Rfam family "tRNA". Rfam says of the family: Transfer RNA (tRNA) molecules are approximately 80 nucleotides in length. Their secondary structure includes four short double-helical elements and three loops (D, anti-codon, and T loops). Further hydrogen bonds mediate the characteristic L-shaped molecular structure. tRNAs have two regions of fundamental functional importance: the anti-codon, which is responsible for specific mRNA codon recognition, and the 3' end, to which the tRNAs corresponding amino acid is attached (by aminoacyl-tRNA synthetases). tRNAs cope with the degeneracy of the genetic code in two manners: having more than one tRNA (with a specific anti-codon) for a particular amino acid; and 'wobble' base-pairing, i.e. permitting non-standard base-pairing at the 3rd anti-codon position. Lineage: Eukaryota; Metazoa; Chordata; Mammalia; Monotremata; Ornithorhynchidae. The record is from Rfam by way of RNAcentral.